AGUGAACGCUGGCGGCAGGCCUAACACAUGCAAGUCGAGCGGCAGCGCGGGGGCAACCCUGGCGGCGAGCGGCGGACGGGUGAGGAAUUCGUAGGAAUCUGCCUUGUUGUGGGGGAUAACGUAGGGAAACUUACGCUAAUACCGCAUACGUCCUACGGGAGAAAGUGGGGGACCGUAAGGCCUCACGCAGAAAGAUGAGCCGACGACGGAUUAGCUAGUUGGUGGGGUAAAGGCCCACCAAGGCGACGAUCGGUAGCUGGUCUGAGAGGAUGAUCAGCCACACUGGAACUGAGACACGGUCCAGACUCCUACGGGAGGCAGCAGUGGGGAAUAUUGGACAAUGGGCGAAAGCCUGAUCCAGCCAUGCCGCGUGUGUGAAGAAGGCCUUCGGAUUGUAAAGCACUUUUAGCCGGGAAGAAGGCCCGUGAGCUAAUACCUUCGGGUGUUGACGUUACCAAAAGAAUAAGCACCGGCUAACUUCGUG
This 484-nucleotide ribosomal RNA is filed under the name uncultured bacterium. RNAcentral describes it as "partial 16S ribosomal RNA". It matches the Rfam family "Bacterial small subunit ribosomal RNA", at positions 29 to 507 of the family's 1533-position model. The record is from RNAcentral.